ACCCGACAAAUGAAAAGGGAAUCGGGUGCAAAUCCCGAACAGGCCCGCUGCUGUGAAUCCUUUCACAAGACCUUGCCCACACCACAAAAAAGCCACUGGUUCGACACAGAACCGGGAAGGAAGCAAGGUUGGAUAAGUCAGAAGACCUGCCUGAAGAUAUUG
This 162-nucleotide non-coding RNA is filed under the name uncultured Paraprevotella sp. The record is from RNAcentral. Lineage: Bacteria; Pseudomonadati; Bacteroidota; Bacteroidia; Bacteroidales; Prevotellaceae.